GCCUCUAUUGAAAUAGAUACGCUGCGUACACCUGUUUACAUGACGAAAAUAAAGACAACACGUUUUGCUGAAGAGUAGCUGGUAGCGAAGUGUGUCUACAAGAUAGUGCAGUUUUAACAUAAUUUCAACAGAUGCGUGGUAUUGAAUGGACAGAGA
This is a long non-coding RNA of Xenia sp. Carnegie-2017, 156 nucleotides long. RefSeq lists it as uncharacterized. The record is from RefSeq and is a predicted model, not a curated record. The transcript has 3 exons. NCBI's taxonomy places the organism in Eukaryota, Metazoa, Cnidaria, Anthozoa, Malacalcyonacea, Xeniidae.